AGAGUUUGAUCCUGGCUCAGGAUGAACGCUGGCGGCGUGCCUAACACAUGCAAGUCGAACGGGGACAGACGGAAACCUAGUGAAGUCUGUCCGAGUGGCGGACGGGUGAGUAACGCGUGGAUAACCUGCCGCAUGCAGGGGGAUACCGGCUGGAAACAGCCGCUAAUACCGCAUAAGCGCACGGUGCCGCAUGGCAGAGUGCGAAAAGGAGAAAUCCGGCAAGCGAUGGAUCCGCGUCCGAUUAGCCAGUUGGCGGGGUAAGGGCCCACCAAAGCGACGAUCGGUAGCCGGCCUGAGAGGGCGGACGGCCACAUUGGGACUGAGACACGGCCCAGACUCCUACGGGAGGCAGCAGUGGGGGAUAUUGCACAAUGGGGGAAACCCUGAUGCAGCGACGCCGCGUGGGUGAAGAAGUAUUUCGGUAUGUAAAGCCCCAUCAGCAGGGAAGAAAGAAGACGGUACCUGACUAAGAAGCCCCGGCUAACUACGUG
Molecule: ribosomal RNA, 491 nt
Filed under: uncultured Lachnospiraceae bacterium
Lineage: Bacteria; Bacillati; Bacillota; Clostridia; Lachnospirales; Lachnospiraceae
Description: bacterial SSU rRNA
Rfam family: Bacterial small subunit ribosomal RNA
Source: RNAcentral